RNAcentral lists this ribosomal RNA (412 nucleotides) under uncultured bacterium. RNAcentral describes it as "partial 16S ribosomal RNA". It matches the Rfam family "Bacterial small subunit ribosomal RNA", at positions 338 to 747 of the family's 1533-position model. The record is from RNAcentral.
CCUACGGGUGGCAGCAGUGAGGAAUAUUGGUCAAUGGACGAAAGUCUGAACCAGCCAUGCCGCGUGCAGGAAGACGGCUCUAUGAGUUGUAAACUGCUUUUGUACAAGGGUAAACCUGAAUACGUGUACUCCGCGGAUAGGACGGUACGAAUAAGGAACGGCUAACUCCGUGCCAGCAGCCGCGGUAAUACGGAGGUUCCAAGAGUUAUCCGUAUUUAUUGUGCGUGGGGGGUGCGUAGGCGGUUUGAUCAGGUAGGGGUGAAAUGUCCGGGCUUAACUCGGGAACUGCCUCUAAUACUGUUGGUCUGGUGAGCAGAUGCGGUAGGCGGCAUGUAUGGUGUAGCGGUGAAAUGCUUCGAGAUCAUACAGAACACCGAUUGCGCAGGCAGCUUACCAAUCUAUAUCUGACGUU